Molecule: non-coding RNA, 207 nt
Organism: Cinara cedri
Lineage: Eukaryota; Metazoa; Arthropoda; Insecta; Hemiptera; Aphididae
Source: the annotation of a GenBank genome assembly
UGAGUUAUUUUGGCAACAAGGUAAACAAUAUGAUUAAUAAUUCUCUAAUCAGAAUCAUAAAAUGAUUUAUCGUUGCAUAAAGAUAUAAAUUAAAUGACUGUACAUAUAUACGUAUAAUGUAUAUAUUCCCUUCGAACUGCCUUUUUAAAACAGUUGCACAACAACUUCUAAUACAAAAAUAGCAUGUCUAAUAUAAUAAAAGAUAUU